AGCAGCCGCGGUAAUUCCAGCUCCAAUAGCGUAUAUUAAAGUUGUUGCAGUUAAAAAGCUCGUAGUUGAAUUUCGGGAUCAAUAUGUUGGUCGUGCCUUGGUACGUACUGGCGUCAUUGGUUUCUACCUCCUGAAGAACCUCGAUGUCAUUAAUUUGGUGUCUUGGGGAAUCAGGACUGUUACUUUGAAAAAAUUAGAGUGUUUAAAGCAAGCUCACGCUUGAAUACAUCAGCAUGGAAUAAUGAAAUAGGACGUUUGAUUCUAUUUUGUUGGUUUCUAGGAUCGACGUAAUGAUUAAUAGGGAUAGUUGGGGGCAUUAGUAUUCAAUUGUCAGAGGUGAAAUUCUUGGAUUUAUUGAAGACUAACUACUGCGAAAGCAUUUGCCAAGGAUGUUUUCAUUAAUCAAGAACGAAAGUUAGGGGAUCGAAGACGAUCAGAUACCGUCGUAGUCUUAACCAUAAACUAUGCCGACUAGGGAUCGGAUGAUGUUAAUUUUUUAAUGACUCAUUCGGCGCCUUAC
This 520-nucleotide unclassified non-coding RNA is filed under the name uncultured Glomus. RNAcentral describes it as "SSU rRNA". It matches the Rfam family "Eukaryotic small subunit ribosomal RNA", at positions 569 to 1091 of the family's 1831-position model. The record is from RNAcentral. Lineage: Eukaryota; Fungi; Glomeromycota; Glomeromycetes; Glomerales; Glomeraceae.